GAAGAAGUCAAUUCAACAGAUUACAAAUAUGAUUAUUCUGAAGAUAUGGAAAAAGCAUCUCAGUGGCAUCAUCGACAUUCAGUGGCCCAGAGAAGUAAUGGGAGGUCCAGACAGGACAAAAAAGAUUACUCUAGAAGCCCAAAUCAGCUAGUCGGUCGUGCAUAUUCACGUGAGAAAUCGAUCAGCAAAGAGAAGCGAGACUAUUCAAAUGAUUCUAGUUUAAAUUUUUCCAGAAGCUCCAGCAGAAGGUACCACAAAUCAAAUGAGGAGAGUAGUCCACAUAGGGAGAGAGGUGAUCGUCAUUUUGACUUCAAGAAACGGAAGGCAAGGGAUGCUUCUGAUGAUUUUGAAGACCGAUAUGAUCCUUCAGGACCUUAGAAAAACUUUGAGAAAAUGUCCCACUAUUGCAACUAGUUCUCUUUUUGUCAGGUAAUCUGGCUAUGUGUUGAUAUUGGAACGGCAUUACCAUCAGAAAUUAUUGUGAUUGGUCCCAUCAGAAAAGAAUUUCCUGUGACUGGUGCCUUUUGUGGUCUAUUGGCCAGUAGGAAGUCAUGCAGGUGUCCACAGUA
This 569-nucleotide unclassified non-coding RNA is filed under the name Hevea brasiliensis (rubber tree). Lineage: Eukaryota; Viridiplantae; Streptophyta; Magnoliopsida; Malpighiales; Euphorbiaceae. The record is from RNAcentral.